GAAACAUCUAAGUAGCUGCAGGAAAAGAAAUCAACCGAGAUUCCCAAAGUAGCGGCGAGCGAAAUGGGAAGAGCCUGUACGUGAUAGUCGGACCGAUAACAGAAUCCUCUGGAAAUGGGAGCCAUAGCGGGUGAUAGCCCCGUAUGUGAAAUCGGACCGGUGGUACUAAGCGUACGACAAGUAGGGCGGGACACGUGACAUCCUGUCUGAAUAUGGGGGGACCAUCCUCCAAGGCUAAAUACUC
This 244-nucleotide ribosomal RNA is filed under the name Janthinobacterium sp. FT14W. Its description in RNAcentral is "partial 23S ribosomal RNA". It matches the Rfam family "Bacterial large subunit ribosomal RNA", at positions 195 to 475 of the family's 2925-position model. The record is from RNAcentral. Lineage: Bacteria; Pseudomonadati; Pseudomonadota; Betaproteobacteria; Burkholderiales; Oxalobacteraceae.